CGAGAGCUCGUUAGGCGCGCGCGCCCCGAGGAGUCUCUCCGAGAUAGCUUCUUGGGUCUUCUCUCUUUUCUCCUUGGGAUUUGACUAUUUGUCGAAGCUGUUGUCUGCGGGUUUCGACAUGCCGUCCUCUUUGCUGGGCGCGGUGAUGCCAGCCUCUGCGUCGGCCACAGCCCUGCAAGAAGCUCUGGAAAAUGCGGGGCGGUUAAUCGAUCGUCAGUUGCAAGAAGACCGCAUGUACCCGGACCUUUCCGAGCUGCUCAUGGUGUCUGCCCCAAGUAAUCCCACUGUUUCGGGCAUGUCAGAUAUGGAUUAUCCCCUACAAGGACCUGGUUUGCUAUCAGUACCCAACCUUCCAGAGAUCAGUUCCAUCCGAAGAGUUCCUCUCCCACCUGAACUUGUUGAACAGUUUGGACAUAUGCAGUGUAACUGCAUGAUGGGUGUUUUUCCUGCCAUCAGCAGAGCUUGGCUCACAAUUGACAGUGAUAUAUUCAUGUGGAACUAUGAGGAUGGAGGAGACCUUGCCUAUUUUGAUGGACUUAGUGAGACUAUCCUUGCUGUGGGACUUGUGAAACCAAAAGCUGGCAUCUUUCAGCCUCAUAUACGACACCUCUUGGUUUUGGCAACCCCUGUGGAUAUAGUAAUUCUUGGACUCAGCUAUGCCAAUUUGCAGACAGGUUCUGGGAUUCUUAAUGAUAGCAUGUCUGGCGGAAUGCAGUUGCUUCCAGAUCCUUUGUAUUCUCUUCCCACUGAUAAUACUUACCUUUUAACAAUAACUUCCACUGAUAAUGGAAGAAUUUUCUUGGCUGGAAAGGAUGGCUGUUUAUAUGAAGUAGCAUACCAAGCAGAAGCAGGUUGGUUUAGUCAAAGAUGUAGGAAGAUAAACCACUCAAAGAGCUCACUUUCUUUCCUUGUUCCUUCCUUGCUACAAUUUACAUUCUCAGAAGAUGAUCCUAUUGUUCAAAUUGCAAUUGAUAAUUCAAGAAAUAUUUUAUAUACACGAUCAGAGAAAGGAGUAAUACAGGUUUAUGAUUUGGGCCAAGAUGGACAGGGAAUGAGUAGAGUUGCCUCAGUUUCACAGAAUGCAAUUGUCUCUGCUGCUGGAAACAUUGCAAGGACCAUUGAUCGUUCUGUUUUUAAGCCAAUUGUUCAGAUAGCAGUGAUUGAAAAUUCUGAAUCAUUGGACUGUCAGUUAUUGGCUGUCACACAUGCAGGUAUCAGGUUAUAUUUCAGCACUUGUCCAUUUAGACAGCCAUUAGCACGGCCUAACACACUGACUCUGGUUCACGUUCGCUUACCUCCUGGAUUCUCAGCAUCUUCAACAGUGGAAAAGCCUUCAAAAGUACAUAAGGCUCUUUAUAGUAAAGGUAUCCUAUUGAUGGCAGCCUCAGAAAAUGAGGAUAAUGAUGUUUUAUGGUGCAUCAACCAUGAUACGUUUCCUUUCCAAAAGCCAAUGAUGGAAACCCAGAUGACAACCCGCGUUGAUGGUCAUUCAUGGGCUCUUUCUGCAAUAGAUGAAUUGAAAGUAGAUAAGAUAAUUACACCUUUAAAUAAGGAUCAUAUUCCGAUAACUGACUCUCCAGUUGUUGUACAGCAACACAUGUUACCUCCAAAGAAAUUUGUUCUCCUCUCAGCACAGGGUAGUCUUAUGUUUCAUAAACUUAGACCUGUAGAUCAACUGAGGCACUUACUUGUGAGCAACGUGGGUGGAGAUGGAGAAGAGAUUGAAAGAUUCUUUAAGUUGCAUCAGGAAGACCAGGCUUGUGCAACUUGCCUUAUCCUAGCUUGCUCCACUGCUGCCUGUGACAGAGAAGUAUCUGCUUGGGCAACGCGGGCUUUCUUCAGGUACGGUGGUGAAGCACAGAUGAGAUUUCCAGCUACUCUUCCCACUCCGAGUAAUGUUGGUCCCAUCUUGGGAUCUCCCGUUUAUGCUAGUUCUCCUGUUCCCAGUGGUAGUCCAUAUCCAAAUCCAUCCUUUUUGGGAACACCAUCUCAAGGUAUACAGCCUCCUGCUAUGUCAACUCCUGUGUGUUCCAUGGGAAACCCAGCAGCUCAGGCCACAAGUAUGAGUUGUAUGACUGGCCCAGAGAUUGUAUACUCUGGAAAACACAAUGGUAUUUGCAUUUAUUUUUCUCGGAUAAUGGGAAAUAUUUGGGAUGCUAGCUUGGUUGUGGAGAGGGUAUUCAAGAGUGGUAACAGAGAGAUCAUGGCAAUUGAAAGUAGUGUUCCCUGCCAACUUCUGGAGUCAGUGCUACAAGAAUUAAAAGGUUUGCAGGAAUUUCUAGACAGAAAUUCCCAAUUUGCAGGAGGACCAUUAGGAAAUCCAAAUGCUACUGCCAAAGUGCAGCAGAGGCUGAUGGGAUUCAUGCGUCCUGAAAAUGGAAAUACUCAGCAAAUGCAACAGGAGUUACAGAGGAAGUUUCAUGAGGCUCAACUGAGUGAAAAGGUGUCACUUCAGGCAAUUCAGCAGUUGGUUCGAAAAUCAUACCAGGCCCUGGCUUUAUGGAAACUUCUUUGUGAACACCAGUUUACUGUCAUUGUAGGAGAACUUCAGAAGGAAUUUCAAGAGCAGCUGAAGAUCACCACUUUCAAAGAUCUGGUAAUCAGGGACAAAGAACUCACAGGAGCAUUAAUUGCUUCUCUUAUCAACUGCUAUAUCAGAGAUAAUGCUGCUGUUGAUGGCAUUAGUUUACAUUUACAGGACAUCUGCCCACUUCUGUAUAGCACUGAUGAUGCAGUUUGUUCUAAGGCGAAUGAGCUGCUCCAGCGUUCCCGACAAGUUCAAAGUAAGUCUGAAAAGGAAAGAAUGUUAAGGGAAUCAUUAAAGGAGUAUCAAAAGAUCAGCAAUCAAGUGGAUCUUUCCAAUGUUUGCACUCAGUAUAGACAAGUGCGUUUUUAUGAGGGUGUGGUGGAACUUUCUCUUACUGCUGCAGAGAAGAAAGAUCCUCAGGGUCUUGGACUUCAUUUCUAUAAACAUGGAGAGCCAGAAGAAGACAUGGUUGGACUUCAGGCUUUCCAAGAAAGAUUAAACAGCUACAAGUGUAUUACAGACACCCUUCAAGAACUCGUAAAUCAAAGUAAGGCUGCUCCUCAGUCUCCUAGUGUACCCAAAAAACCUGGUCCUCCAGUGCUGUCAUCUGAUCCCAAUAUGCUGAGCAAUGAAGAAGCAGGACACCACUUUGAACAAAUGCUCAAAUUGGCUCAGCGAUCCAAGGAUGAGCUCUUUAGUAUUGCUCUUUAUAAUUGGUUAAUACAAGCUGACCUUGCAGAUAAGCUACUACAGGUUGCUUCUCCAUUUCUGGAGCCACAUCUAGUUCGAAUGGCCAAAGUGGAUCAAAACAAAGUUCGUUACAUGGAUUUACUCUGGAGGUAUUAUGAGAAGAACAGAAGUUUUAGUAAUGCCGCUCGUGUCCUGUCCAAAUUAGCUGACAUGCAUAGCACUGAAAUUUCACUUCAGCAACGGCUAGAGUACAUUGCCCGAGCCAUUCUUAGUGCCAAAAGUUCCACUGCGAUUUCAUCAAUAGCUGCUGAUGGUGAAUUCCUUCAUGAAUUAGAAGAAAAAAUGGAAGUUGCUAGGAUUCAACUUCAAAUACAAGAAACACUACAAAGACAGUAUUCUCAUCAUUCUUCUGUACAGGAUGCAGUUUCUCAGUUGGAUUCUGAGUUAAUGGACAUAACUAAGCUUUAUGGGGAAUUUGCUGACCCAUUUAAACUUGCAGAGUGUAAACUUGGAAUAAUUCAUUGUGCGGGUUAUUCAGACCCCAUAUUGGUGCAGACCCUUUGGCAAGAUAUCAUAGAGAAAGAAUUGAAUGAUAGUGUAACAUUGAGCUCCACAGAUAGAAUGCAUGCUCUUAGUCUGAAGAUCGUGCUCCUUGGCAAAAUUUAUGCUGGCACACCUCGCUUCUUCCCUUUAGAUUUUAUUGUACAGUUUUUAGAGCAGCAAGUAUGUACUUUGAAUUGGGACGUAGGCUUUGUAAUUCAGACCAUGAAUGAAAUUGGAGUGUCAUUACCUAGACUAUUAGAAGUUUAUGAUCAACUAUUCAAAUCAAGAGAUCCAUUCUGGAACAGAAUGAAGAAGCCACUACACCUUUUGGAUUGUAUCCAUGUACUAUUAUUUAAAUAUGUUGCAAAUCCUAGCCAAGUUUCAAAUUGUGAGAGGAGAAGAUUUACAAAUCUCUGCCUGGAUGCUGUUUGUGGUUACCUGGUUGAGCUCCAGUCUAUGAGCUCUUCAGUAGCAGUACAAACCAUCACUGGGAAUUUUAAAUCUCUUCAAGCAAAGUUAGAACGACUUCACUGAUGAUUGUAAUGUAUUUUCAUUCAUGCAUUUUGAUCUGUAAAAUAAAAGCUCAGCUGGGUCCAGAUUAUUCAUUCUCAGGAUGCUUUAUCUCCAUAUUUUUUCUCUUAUUCAUGGAAGAAAAAUUAUGAUAAUAAUCCAGUCACAUCAUGGAAAUGAGGCACUGAAACAUCAAAUCUAAAGGUUUUGAAAGAGUUUAUAAUUUCCUUUUAUUCUCUAUAAAUAUCUUCAUUUCUUCAGAAUAUUUGUGAGUCCUCUAGUACAUCUUUUUAAAUUUUUUAAGUUUUAUUUUCCUCAUAUAUAAAUGAGAAAGUUGAAGCUAAGACUUAAAUCUAAUUUUGUAAGAACUGUGGCUAUUUUUUAUUUUGUUCUACUUAAAUACUAGUUACAAUACUAUUU
This is an RNA transcript of Sciurus carolinensis (gray squirrel), 4690 nucleotides long. It is a transcript of the gene named nucleoporin 155, with no coding region annotated. Lineage: Eukaryota; Metazoa; Chordata; Mammalia; Rodentia; Sciuridae. The record is from RefSeq and is a predicted model, not a curated record. The transcript is spliced from 36 exons.